UACGUAGGGUCCGAGCGUUGUCCGGAAUUAUUGGGCGUAAAGAGCACGUAGGCGGUUUGAUAAGCGGAAUGUGAAAGCCCCGGGCUUAACCUGGGAACUGCAUUCCGAACUGUCAGGCUAGAGUAUGAUAGAGGUGAGCGGAAUUUCCUGUGUAGCGGUGAAAUGCGUAGAUAUAGGAAGGAACAUCAGUUGCGAAGGCGGCUCACUGGAUCAAUACUGACGCUGAGGUGCGAAAGCGUGGGUAGCGAACAGG
RNAcentral lists this ribosomal RNA (253 nucleotides) under uncultured bacterium. RNAcentral's name for it is "partial 16S ribosomal RNA". It matches the Rfam family "Bacterial small subunit ribosomal RNA", at positions 524 to 776 of the family's 1533-position model. The record is from RNAcentral.